AGGUGUGUCUUUGUGGUGGCUGAGUAUGAAACUCCCCAGAAUACUUUGAAUCAAGCUGGAGCUGGAGGCUGGAGCUGGAGUGCUGUGAGAGAAAAAUAUUGUUACCUGGCUGGUGGCUGGAGGCUGGAGCUGGAGGAAUGUGAGAGGGGAAUACUGUAGCGCUGGAGCCUACACCAACAGCCGAACGCAGUGAUUAGCUUGAUCAUUUGCAUAAUUAAUGAUGUUCCCCAAACUUUCUGUGAUACAAUCUAUGAUGUUCAUUCCUACCCUAUUGAAUCAUUUUAUUGCCUGCCUGCUGAUAUUCUAUUAUAGUUUAGAUUUUUCCUCCUAUACAGUACUAUAACUGAUUGUAUUUGGUAUUUUGGUUUAUGGCUUUAUGCAACAGGCCUUUGGGAUGGAAUUAUACCUGCAAAAGAGCAUACCAAGUUUUUAUCCAUACCACAAAAAGUGAAGGAUAUGCAGAUGGAGAUGGGUUGGAUGUUUCCUAGACUCAUCUGAAUGAGCAUCGCAUGAUGAGAUUUUUGUGACCAUCAGCAAAGAUGAGUGAGCAGUUGCUGGUUCGAGAGGGGCUUGACGACCGCACCCUGCAUCAGGAAGGAUUGUCACCCUCUGCCUCCUACACGUGAAGGGAGCCCCUGAAGAUGACCUCAAUCUCCAUGUAGCUGUGUCCUCCCUGAGGUAUUCCUGCCCUCAUUUUUGGAUGUCAUGGUGCCAUGAUUUCAACAAUCUUUCUGCUACAGACUUGCAAUUUAGAUGCUCAGUAUAUCAAUUCUAACAUUAUAUUUAGCGGAAACCAUCAUUCUGCUUGAUUAAAUCACGUUAGAAUACAGUUUAUGUGUGAAAAUUACUUUUGGCAUUUGAACUAUAUGAAUCGUUGUAUGAUGAGUACCUGAUUCUAUAAGCUUGCAAUCAUGGUUUAAAGCACCUCGUGAAAUCUACCUUUAAAUUGAUAGUAUCCUGAGAUCUUCUUUUAUGCUGCAAGAUAAUUAUGAUCAUAAAAUUAAUUGGUGCCGUCCGAGCUGAGAACAAGGAUCGACAGUUCUAAUGUUUUAAUCAAAUCCUGGCAGAACUUAGCGGAGUGUGAUGAUUUUUUUGGUGGUGAGUUUUGCUUGGCAGAGUUGUAGGGAUACCUUUUGUCCCCUUUUGCAGUUCAUCCCGUUUGUUUAUUACAAAAUUUUGAUCUUGUUUUCUUUGGUUCAAGGGAGGAAGAGGGCAGGCAGUGCGAGAGGCAGGGAGAGAAAAGGCAUAGUGAAUUGGACGUUGCUUUGCCCGAACCGCUCCCUCGACCAGUCCAACCAGUUGUCUGAAAUAUGAGAUCAUUGUAGUUUGAGAUAAUGUUGCCGUCAACACUUUACUAAUAACUUAUUUUCUGGUUGAUAGAAGGCAAAUCCUUCUUUGACAUUCUUUGAAUUUAGUGAUGAAAAUGGACAAAAAAAAAAUCAACUGAGGAGAGCAGAAAAUAUUACAAAGAAAUUAUCUAAAAGCAGUUGACAUGCUUGAUAAGUAUUUAUCGUCGCAUAUGACCUUGCAAAAUGUAAGGUGAUCUCCGAACUCAUAAUCACAUACCAUACAAAUUCUGAUUUCUAGACCUACCUGAAUUCGAAGUUUCGGUCAGAUUAGUUUUACUUUUUCUCCUGGCAAUUUGGCCCUUCUACUUUUAAAAGAGUAACACUUGGCAUGAUAGUUUUUUUCUAAAUGUUGUUUUUUUCAUGUUUGCUUCAUAUGCAUUACCAUUAAAGGCUAAAUAUACAUGACUAUGGGAUAACCUUUCUUGAUUUCAAUAUAGAAUAAAGUAGGAGGGAUGAUCUUGAAUCUCUUGGUUAUGUGCUGAUGUAUUUUUUUAAGAGGAUUACUAAUAGAACGUUAAAAAUGACACUUGUUAGAUUCUUUAGCAUUCUCGUACUUGUAAAAUAAUGUUGCAGGCCUAUUUGUACAUUCACGCAUUGCACAUUUUUCUCCUAUUUUGAUUGCUCUAAAAUCUGUCCUUUUCAUUUCCUUUUCCUUUCAGUGAUACCAUCCAGAUCGAUGAUGAACUAUAACAUGCUGUGCCCUUGUUGUUCGGCGAAGCAAAACAGAUGGCAGGCUGGGCAAUGUCAAUGGCACGAAGCUCAAAUGGCCCCUGACACUCAAUUUAGUCACACAUGAAGCUGCCAUAUCAGUUUUUUUGUGUGUUGAGCUCGCAUUCUGGUACUUCAAAAAAGGACCUGUAAUUCGUUCCACACGAUGCUAUUCUUCAUCUCGAUUGCUCUAUAUUGAGAACAAUGGAAUUAGAUGCUUAUUCUGUAAAGAUUUUAUUGUUAUUGCCUGUCUGUUAACACGUGCGGCACGCA
Long non-coding RNA from Panicum virgatum (switchgrass), 2330 nucleotides. RefSeq lists it as uncharacterized. The record is from RefSeq and is a predicted model, not a curated record. The transcript has 4 exons. NCBI's taxonomy places the organism in Eukaryota, Viridiplantae, Streptophyta, Magnoliopsida, Poales, Poaceae.